AGGAUAAACGCUGGCGGCGUGCCUUACACAUGCAAGUCGAACGGAUCAUAGUCUUCGGACUAUGGUGAGUGGCGAAAGGGUGAGUAACGCGUGGGUGACCUGCCCGGAAGUGGGGGAUAACUCCUCGAAAGAGGGGCUAAUACCGCAUACGAUCGAAAGAUUCGUUUUUCGAUGAAAGGUUUUUCGCUUUCGGAGGGGCCUGCGUUCGAUUAGCUAGUUGGUGGGGUAAUGGCCUACCAAGGCGAUGAUCGAUAGCUGGUCUGAGAGGACGGCCAGCCACACUGGGACUGAGAAACGGCCCAGACUCCUACGGGAGGCAGCAGUGAGGAAUUUUGCGCAAUGGGCGAAAGCCUGACGCAGCAACGCCGCGUGGGGGAUGAAGGCUCUCGGGUUGUAAACCCCUUUUCUUGGGGAAGAUGAUGACGGUACCCAAGGAAUAAGUCACGGCAAACUACGUGCCAGCAGCCGC
This 469-nucleotide ribosomal RNA is filed under the name uncultured bacterium. RNAcentral describes it as "SSU rRNA". It matches the Rfam family "Bacterial small subunit ribosomal RNA", at positions 26 to 518 of the family's 1533-position model. The record is from RNAcentral.